Molecule: ribosomal RNA, 399 nt
Filed under: uncultured bacterium
Lineage: Bacteria
Description: bacterial SSU rRNA
Rfam family: Bacterial small subunit ribosomal RNA
Source: RNAcentral
AUUGAACGCUGGCGGCAUGCUUUACACAUGCAAGUCGAACGGCAGCACGGGUGCUUGCACCUGGUGGCGAGUGGCGGACGGGUGAGUAAUACAUCGGAACGUAUCCUAAAGUGGGGGAUAACGCAUCGAAAGAUGUGCUAAUACCGCAUACACUCUGAGGAGGAAAGUAGGGGAUCGAAAGACCUUAUGCUUUUGGAGCGGCCGAUGUCUGAUUAGCUAGUUGGUAAGGUAAUGGCUUACCAAGGCAACGAUCAGUAGUUGGUCUGAGAGGACGACCAGCCACACUGGGACUGAGACACGGCCCAGACUCCUACGGGAGGCAGCAGUGGGGAAUUUUGGACAAUGGGCGCAAGCCUGAUCCAGCAAUGCCGCGUGAGUGAAGAAGGCCUCGGUUGUAAG